ACUUAACAUUGAGCGUGGUUACACGAUUCUUUCCACUGUCCCCAUCCGAGUGCUACUGCCGGAGGAUACCUGCCUUCCUGGGACUUCUCACCCUCUAGCACUCAGCCAGUUCCUGCUCGGGCGCCGGGUCACCUCCCAGGGACACCAUUCUGCACUCCUGGCCAAGUCCAGCCCUCUCAGAUGUUGCCAAAGCCACCCAUCCAGUUGCCUUCCUGCCAAGCAGCACCCUCCCUGAGGGCAGGGCCCACGUGUGCAGCAGCAGAGACACCCUCCAGGAGCAGUGGAGGAGGAAACUCACCCGGAAGGUGGCACACCACGGGGAUGCCCAGCUUCUUGAGGUCGUCUGCGUUGCCGACGCCAG
Long non-coding RNA from Myotis lucifugus (little brown bat), 361 nucleotides. RefSeq lists it as uncharacterized. The record is from RefSeq and is a predicted model, not a curated record. The transcript is spliced from 3 exons. Lineage: Eukaryota; Metazoa; Chordata; Mammalia; Chiroptera; Vespertilionidae.